CAGUAGCCGCGGUAAUACGUAGGGCGCAAGCGUUGUCCGGAAUUAUUGGGCGUAAAGAGCUCGUAGGCGGUCUGUCGCGUCUGGUGUGAAAUCCCGAGGCUCAACCUCGGGCUUGCAUCGGGUACGGGCAGACUAGAGUGCGGUAGGGGAGACUGGAAUUCCUGGUGUAGCGGUGGAAUGCGCAGAUAUCAGGAGGAACACCGAUGGCGAAGGCAGGUCUCUGGGCCGCAACUGACGCUGAGGAGCGAAAGCAUGGGGAGCGAACAGGAUUAGAUACCCGGGUAGUCCCUGUCUCUUAUAC
Molecule: ribosomal RNA, 301 nt
Filed under: uncultured bacterium
Lineage: Bacteria
Description: partial 16S ribosomal RNA
Rfam family: Bacterial small subunit ribosomal RNA
Source: RNAcentral